This 386-nucleotide ribosomal RNA is filed under the name uncultured bacterium. RNAcentral describes it as "bacterial SSU rRNA". It matches the Rfam family "Bacterial small subunit ribosomal RNA", at positions 29 to 416 of the family's 1533-position model. The record is from RNAcentral.
AUUGAACGCUGGCGGCAUGCUUUACACAUGCAAGUCGAACGGUAACAGGGAGCUUGCUCCGCUGACGAGUGGCGAACGGGUGAGUAAUGCAUCGGAACGUGCCGUGUAAUGGGGGAUAACGUAGCGAAAGUUACGCUAAUACCGCAUACGCCCUGAGGGGGAAAGUGGGGGACCGCAAGGCCUCACGUUAUACGAGCGGCCGAUGUCGGAUUAGCUAGUUGGUGGGGUAAAGGCCUACCAAGGCGACGAUCCGUAGCGGGUCUGAGAGGAUGAUCCGCCACACUGGGACUGAGACACGGCCCAGACUCCUACGGGAGGCAGCAGUGGGGAAUUUUGGACAAUGGGGGCAACCCUGAUCCAGCCAUGCCGCGUGAGUGAAGAAGGCC